CCUACGGGAGGCAGCAGUGGGGAAUAUUGCACAAUGGGCGAAAGCCUGAUGCAGCAACGCCGCGUGAAGGAAGAAGGGUUUCGGCUCGUAAACUUCUAUCAACAGGGACGAAAGAAAUGACGGUACCUGAAUAAGAAGCCCCGGCUAACUACGUGCCAGCAGCCGCGGUAAUACGUAGGGGGCAAGCGUUAUCCGGAAUUACUGGGUGUAAAGGGUGAGUAGGCGGCAUGGUAAGCCAGAUGUGAAAGCCUCGGGCUUAAACCGAGGAUUGCAUUUGGAACUAUCAAGCUAGAGUACAGGAGAGGAAAGCGGAAUUCCUAGUGUAGCGGUGAAAUGCGUAGAUAUUCGGAGGAACACCGGUGGCGAAGGCGGCCAACUGGGCUUUAACUGACGCUGAGGCUCGAAAGUGUGGGGAGCAAACAGGAUUAGAUACCUCUGUAAUC
This 443-nucleotide ribosomal RNA is filed under the name uncultured bacterium. Its description in RNAcentral is "partial 16S ribosomal RNA". It matches the Rfam family "Bacterial small subunit ribosomal RNA", at positions 338 to 795 of the family's 1533-position model. The record is from RNAcentral.